CCUGUCUAACUAGCCUUCCCGUGAGAGUUUAUGAACAUGUAUCUCACCAGAAUGCUAGUUUGUAGAGG
This 68-nucleotide microRNA precursor is filed under the name Human betaherpesvirus 5. Its description in RNAcentral is "microRNA hcmv-mir-UL22A precursor". Its record names the gene hcmv-mir-UL22A. The record is from miRBase by way of RNAcentral. Lineage: Duplodnaviria; Heunggongvirae; Peploviricota; Herviviricetes; Herpesvirales; Orthoherpesviridae.